RNAcentral lists this ribosomal RNA (957 nucleotides) under Triticum aestivum (bread wheat). RNAcentral describes it as "partial small subunit ribosomal RNA". The record is from RNAcentral. Lineage: Eukaryota; Viridiplantae; Streptophyta; Magnoliopsida; Poales; Poaceae.
GGGUAGGCAGGGUCAGGUAUGGUAUGGGUCUCAGCAGAAGAAGAAGGUAGGUCGACCCGCUCUCCGUGCUCUAGGCUAGGCUAGGCUAGGCGGCCUUGGGAUCGGUCCAGGUGGUGGUACCGCCGCUGGGCGAGCGAGGAGGAGACGCGGCGGCAGGAGGAGCGGCGGGAGAGGACGUGGAAGCGGCGGCUGCGCGGGAAGGAGCAGCGCGUGUUCUUCCACCGGGAGAGGGCGGGGUUCGGGCCGCAGCUCGCGGAGCGGCAGAGGGAGCUGGAGAUGUUGGUCCCUAGGCGUUGACGUAUACUACACCGGUAAUUACUACUGAGCACCGGUUUCCUUCGUAAACUUGAACAGAGACCUCUCCAGAGUUUCUGAAACCUUUCCGAACUUGGACCACGGUGACGAAGCGUGCGCAAACAUAACCUCUCGUUUUGUGUCCCGUCCAAGGUUCGAAGUGGACGACAAUAGUUCAUGGCACAACGGUGUUUCCGACGUGAAGUCCUCCGGAUGAGUUGAGGGUAGGAGGGGGACCUGUAAGAACGACUUUCUGGAGGUCACUUCUUCAAACUUACCCGAUUCUUUGAACAACGCUUCAUACCUCGUGACCACAGGCAACAAAGGAAGCAAGACCCCAAGUAGAUGGACCAGCGCUCGGGUAGCUUUAGACGGCCGAGUUUCAGACCGUUCUUCUCCGCGACUAGAUAGUAGGUACCAAGUGGCAAAACCAUCGACCGGCAAACGGACCUCUCUGGGAACUAUCGGCUCAGACUCCAAUGUUGUGGGGGUACCUGACAUUACAUUACCUCGCUGAUCGUCGUUUUAACUGUGAUAUUAAAACCAAUUAAAGGCAAAACACAACAGUCGCUGAAUUGGACCUCCUCAUCUAAACCACUUUGAAUCUUUGUGAAAACUAAGACAUGACACACCUCCUGGUUACACCAACACGUAGGUUAGUAU